AUUUUUCUGUGGCACAGGACCAGUCAGGUUGGGUCUGUUGGAAGCAGGUUCUUUUUCUGUGGCACAGGACCAGUCAGGUUGGGUCUGUUGGAAGCAGGAUAUUUUUCUGUGGCACAGGACCAGUCAGGUUGGGUCUGUUGGAAGCAGGUUAUUUUUCUGUGGCACAGGACCAGUCAGGUUGGGUCUGUUGGAAGCAGGUUAUUUUUCUGUGGCACAGGACCAGUCAGGUUGGGUCUGUUGGAAGCAGGAUAUUUUUCUGCGCCCUGCUGGAACACACAGAAACUUGGCAACUCUACAUGUCUUACUGUUGGCCCGCGUCCAGCUCUCUGUCUGCACUUCAGACAUGAAACAGAGAGAGACAGACAUAACGAGAGAGAGACCGAAACAGACAUAACGAGAGAGAGAGAGAGAGAAACGGACAUAAUGAGAGAGAGAAACAGAGAGAGAGAGAGAGAGACAGACAUAACGAGAGAGAGAGAGAGAGAGCGAGAAACAGACAUAAUGAGAGAGAGAGAGAGAAACAGACAUAAUGAGAGAGAGAAACAGAGAGAGAGAGAAACAGACAUAACGAGAGAGAGAGAAACAGAGAGAGAGAGAAACAGACAUAACGAGAGAGAGAGAAACAGAGAGAGAGAGAGAGAGAGAAACAGAGCUGCAGGUGACAUGGCGGAGGGAAGCAGGUGGAACGGCUUAUGAUUGGGUUGGGUAUAAAUACAAGAUCAUAAUUCAGUUCCCACAGGUGUCCAGUGUGUGUGUGUGUGUGUGUGUGUGUGUGUGUGUGUGUGUGUGUGUGUGUGUGUGUGUGUGUGUGUGUGUGUGUGUGUGUGUGUGUGUGUGUGUGUGUGUGUGUGUGUGUGUGUGUCCAUUUCUGCUGGAACGCGUGUUCCAUGUGUGUCAGGUUCAUUCAUUGGAUCUCUAUAGGACUUUUACUUAGUUAUGUCAACACCCAGAACCAAAUGAGAAUACUUUCAUAGCCC
RNAcentral lists this long non-coding RNA (977 nucleotides) under Salmo salar (Atlantic salmon). RNAcentral describes it as "lncRNA (ENSSSAG00000103061.1)". The record is from RNAcentral. Lineage: Eukaryota; Metazoa; Chordata; Actinopteri; Salmoniformes; Salmonidae.